Molecule: ribosomal RNA, 253 nt
Filed under: uncultured bacterium
Lineage: Bacteria
Description: partial 16S ribosomal RNA
Rfam family: Bacterial small subunit ribosomal RNA
Source: RNAcentral
UACGGAGGGUGCAAGCGUUAAUCGGAAUUACUGGGCGUAAAGCGCACGUAGGCGGUCAUUUAAGUCGGAUGUGAAAUCCCCGGGCUCAACCUGGGAACUGCAUACGAUACUGGGUGGCUAGAGUAUGGCAGAGGGGAGUGGAAUUCCAGGUGUAGCGGUGAAAUGCGUAGAUAUCUGGAGGAACAUCAGUGGCGAAGGCGACUCCCUGGGUUAAUACUGACGCUGAGGUGCGAAAGCGUGGGGAGCAAACAGG